Molecule: small RNA, 132 nt
Filed under: Ruminiclostridium cellobioparum subsp. termitidis
Lineage: Bacteria; Bacillati; Bacillota; Clostridia; Eubacteriales; Oscillospiraceae
Also listed under: 1 other name
Description: Clostridium termitidis c-di-AMP sequence
Rfam family: c-di-AMP riboswitch aptamer (ydaO/yuaA leader)
About the family: This family represents a conserved RNA structure found upstream of the ydaO and yuaA genes in Bacillus subtilis and related genes in other bacteria. The ydaO/yuaA element is thought to act as a genetic "off" switch for the ydaO and yuaA genes in its native state.
Source: RNAcentral
UGCCAAUAAAAGCUGAAUCCUCGAGAGAGGUACGGAGGAACCAAAUUUUUGGGGUGAGUCCAUGCAAAUGGUAGGGAGGUCCUAUUGCCCGAGCCCGGCAGCUAACUUCGGAAGCGAAUUAUAGGAGGAGCC